Molecule: transfer RNA, 87 nt
Filed under: Neisseriales bacterium
Lineage: Bacteria; Pseudomonadati; Pseudomonadota; Betaproteobacteria; Neisseriales
Description: tRNA-Leu
Rfam family: tRNA
About the family: Transfer RNA (tRNA) molecules are approximately 80 nucleotides in length. Their secondary structure includes four short double-helical elements and three loops (D, anti-codon, and T loops).
Source: RNAcentral
GCCCAGGUGGCGGAACUGGUAGACGCACUAGGUUCAGGUCCUAGCGCCGGCAACGGUGUGGAAGUUCGAGUCUUCUCCUGGGUACCA